This 590-nucleotide ribosomal RNA is filed under the name uncultured bacterium. Its description in RNAcentral is "bacterial SSU rRNA". It matches the Rfam family "Bacterial small subunit ribosomal RNA", at positions 366 to 978 of the family's 1533-position model. The record is from RNAcentral.
GGACAAUGGGCGAAACUGNANUCCAGCAAUGCCGCGUGGAUGAAGAAGGUCUUCGGAUUGUAAAGUCCUUUCGGCGGGGACGAUGAUGACGGUACCCGCAGAAGAAGCCCCGGCUAACUUCGUGCCAGCAGCCGCGGUAGUACGAAGGGGGCUAGCGUUGCUCGGAAUUACUGGGCGUAAAGGGCGCGUAGGCGGAAAUCUCAGUCAGGCGUGAAAGCCCCGGGCUCAACCUGGGAAUUGCGCUUGAGACGGGGUUUCUUGAGGGCGAGAGAGGGUGGUGGAAUUCCCAGUGUAGAGGUGAAAUUCGUAGAUAUUGGGAAGAACACCGGUGGCGAAGGCGGCCACCUGGCUCGCACCUGACGCUGAGGCGCGAAASUGGNGGAGCAAACAGGAUUAGAUACCCUGGUAGUCCACGCUGUAAACGAUGUGCGCUGGAUGUUGGGUGACCUAGUCACUCAGUGUCGUAGCCAACGCGGUAAGSCACCGCCUGGGGAGUACGGCCGCAAGUUGAAACUCAAAGGAAUUGACGGGGGCCCGCACAAGCGUGGAGCAUGUGGUUUAAUUCGAAGCACGCGCAGAACCUUACAGCC